This 503-nucleotide ribosomal RNA is filed under the name uncultured bacterium. Its description in RNAcentral is "partial 16S ribosomal RNA". It matches the Rfam family "Bacterial small subunit ribosomal RNA", at positions 28 to 523 of the family's 1533-position model. The record is from RNAcentral.
GAUGAACGCUAGCGGCAGGCCUAACACAUGCAAGUCGAGGGGUAGCAGGAUUAAGCUUGCUUAAUUGCUGACGACCGGCGCACGGGUGCGUAACGCGUAUGCAACCUACCUUAUACUGGGGUAUAGCCCGGAGAAAUUCGGAUUAAUCCCCCAUAGUACUAAUGAAUCGCAUGGUUUAUUAGUUAAAGCAUUGGGGUAUAAGACGGGCAUGCGUCCUAGUAGCUAGAUGGUGAGGUAACGGCUCACCAUGGCUACGAUACAUAGGGGGACUGAGAGGUUAACCCCCCACACUGGUACUGAGACACGGACCAGACUCCUACGGGAGGCAGCAGUGAGGAAUAUUGGUCAAUGGACGCAAGUCUGAACCAGCCAUGCCGCGUGCAGGACGACGGCUCUAUGAGUUGUAAACUGCUUUUGUACAAGGGUAAACCCCGGUACGUGUACCGGGCUGAAAGUACUGUACGAAUAAGGAUCGGCUAACUCCGUGCCAGCAGCCGCCGUAA